GCGCCCAGGUGUGCCCAGGUGUGCACAGGUGCGCCCAGGUGCGCCCAGGUGUUGCCCAGGUGUGCCCAGGUGUGCCAAGGUGUGCCCAGGUGUGCCCAGGUGUUCCCC
Long non-coding RNA from Vidua macroura (Pin-tailed whydah), 108 nucleotides. RefSeq lists it as uncharacterized. The transcript has 3 exons. The record is from RefSeq and is a predicted model, not a curated record. Lineage: Eukaryota; Metazoa; Chordata; Aves; Passeriformes; Viduidae.